Molecule: unclassified non-coding RNA, 330 nt
Filed under: soil metagenome
Description: partial contains 5.8S ribosomal RNA, internal transcribed spacer 2, and large subunit ribosomal RNA
Rfam family: 5.8S ribosomal RNA (bases 1-120)
Source: RNAcentral
GAUGAAGAACGUAGCGAAAUGCGAUAAGUAGUGUGAAUUGCAGAAUUCAGUGAAUCAUCGAAUCUUUGAACGCACAUUGCGCCCCUUGGUAUCCCGAGGGGCAUGCCUGUUCGAGCGUCAUUUCACCACUCAAGCCUGGCUUGGUGUUGGGCGACGUCCCCUUUGGGGACGCGCCUCGAAACGCUCGGCGGCGUGGCACCGGCUUUAAGCGUAGCAGAAUCUUUCGCUUUGGAAGUCGGGGCCCCGUCUGCCGGAAGACCUACUCGCAAGGUUGACCUCGGAUCAGGCAGGGAUACCCGCUGAACUUAAGCAUAUCCAAUAAGCGGAGGA